CCUACGGGAGGCAGCAGUGGGGGAUAUUGCACAAUGGGGGAAACCCUGAUGCAGCGACGCCGCGUGAGGGAAGACGGUUUUCGGAUUGUAAACCUCUGUCUUUGGGGACGAAUUGAGACGGUACCUGAGUAAGAAGCCCCGGCUAACUACGUGCCAGCAGCCGCGGUAAUACGUAGGGGGCAAGCGUUAUCCGGAUUUACUGGGUGUAAAGGGAGCGUAGACGGCAGUGCAAGUCUGGGGUGAAAGGCGGGGGCUCAACCCCCGGACUGCUCUGGAAACUGUACGGCUGGAGUGCAGGAGAGGUAAGUGGAAUUCCUAGUGUAGCGGUGAAAUGCGUAGAUAUUAGGAGGAACACCAGUGGCGAAGGCGGCUUACUGGACUGUAACUGACGUUGAGGCUCGAAAGCGUGGGGAGCAAACAGGAUUAGAUACCCCGGUAGUC
RNAcentral lists this ribosomal RNA (441 nucleotides) under uncultured bacterium. RNAcentral's name for it is "partial 16S ribosomal RNA". It matches the Rfam family "Bacterial small subunit ribosomal RNA", at positions 338 to 795 of the family's 1533-position model. The record is from RNAcentral.